CUUUCAGCAGGGUGUUUUUUUUUUUUUUUUAAGGGAUGUUAGUCUUGGAUUAUUACCACAAGCAAGCAAGCAGAUGGCAUCAUUGCUGAGUGGGGUUCAGGGUGAAGGAUGACACAGUAAGCGUCCAAAUCAUAAUUGGAGCUAUUCCACGAAGAGGAGCUCAAGGGAGGCUCCUGGCCCAUACCUAAGACAACUGAGAGAGAGGGAGACAGAGACAAAGAGAGGAAUGGAGUCCACCUUUCUACCCAAGCCCAGUAGCUGAAACAGCUCUUCAGUUUUCAGACUCCGGUGGCCCAGAAGGACAAGAAUGCAGAACCAGGCAGGAGCAGGGGAAACUGCUCGGAAAGCAUUGGCGUUCAGGGCUUGGAAUCCAGCGUAGAAUCCAUCUCUCGUCCUUCACAGACGGGCGACAUCAAGCACAAGAGGGCUGUUUGCCGGGUGCGGAGGGUAGGAAGCGGAUAUUUUU
RNAcentral lists this long non-coding RNA (466 nucleotides) under Ursus maritimus (polar bear). RNAcentral's name for it is "lncRNA (ENSUMAG00000018531.1)". Lineage: Eukaryota; Metazoa; Chordata; Mammalia; Carnivora; Ursidae. The record is from RNAcentral.